GAAGUUAACGGUCACGUCUCCCGCGCGUGCAACGUUCAACUUCUUCUUCUUCUUCUUCUUCUUAUUUUUUCGGCGGUUAGUGCACUUCCCGUUGUGCAGUGUGGGGCAGAAAUGGCUUGAGUUUGGAAGAAACAGCAACGCUCUCUGUAAAGGAUAACGACUAACGUAUUGGAGUGUCAAAAUGACCAGACGAAAACCUGGAAAACAAUGGAGAAGGACAGGUAAUGAAGAAGACCCAAGUAAACGACCAAGACGGGCUGCACAAUUGUCAUCCCUCCCUGCAGCCACCAGUGUUCAUGUGGAGACUGAUCAGCAAUAUUUAGGUAAUUUAUGAAAUGUGUUGG
Long non-coding RNA from Etheostoma cragini (Arkansas darter), 344 nucleotides. RefSeq lists it as uncharacterized. The record is from RefSeq and is a predicted model, not a curated record. The transcript has 3 exons. Lineage: Eukaryota; Metazoa; Chordata; Actinopteri; Perciformes; Percidae.